AUUGAACGCUGGCGGCAGGCCUAACACAUGCAAGUCGAACGAGUGGCGGACGGGUGAGUAAUGUCUGGGAAACUGCCUGAUGGAGGGGGAUAACUACUGGAAACGGUAGCUAAUACCGCAUACCAUCGGAUGUGCCCAGAUGGGAUUAGCUUGUUGGUGGGGUAACGGCUCACCAAGGCGACGAUCCCUAGCUGGUCUGAGAGGAUGACCAGCCACACUGGAACUGAGACACGGUCCAGACUCCUACGGGAGGCAGCAGUGGGGAAUAUUGCACAAUGGGCGCAAGCCUGAUGCAGCCAUGCCGCGUGUAUGAAGAAGGCCUUCGGGUUGUAAAGUACUUUUGGCAGAGAAGCGGUAUCUGCAGAAUAAGCACCGGCUAACUACGUGCCAGCAGCCGCGGUAAUAC
This 406-nucleotide ribosomal RNA is filed under the name uncultured bacterium. RNAcentral describes it as "partial 16S ribosomal RNA". It matches the Rfam family "Bacterial small subunit ribosomal RNA", at positions 30 to 526 of the family's 1533-position model. The record is from RNAcentral.